GUGAUACUGAAGCACAUGGCUGCAGCAGACAGUUGUUCCAGAAGUAAUGUCCAGAAGAAAUCUAGAAAAUGCUCCAAGGUGUGCACAACUGGAAAACUUAAGUAGUAUUUUUCUUUGUUUUUAGAAGAUGCCACAUAAAAAAGUAUCCUAUAUGAUAUCAGGAACAUCUGCAAAAAGCCAGGGAGAGAUACUGGAAGAAAAAAAAGAAGAGAGAAAUGAAAUCUAUCUUUGAGAUUAUAAAGCGAGAAUAAACAGAUGGCAAUGGAAAUGCAACCAACGGAAUAGAAGACAACCAUUAAAGAGAACAGAUGCAAUGGAGACCUACCUGGAUGAGAUCUUUAAGGUCAGGGCCCUCCGCAAGGCUCACAAAAUCAUUUUAGACCCAAGCCACCCCCUGUACCCGGACUUUGAACUACUCCCCUCUGGGCGCAGGUAUAGGGCACCCCUCAGCAGGAAAAACAGAACUAGACAAUAAUUUGUGCCAGGUGUGAUAUCCCUCCUAAAUAGCUCAGGCUAAUGUUCCUAUCAACUCAGUAAGGCCAGCAGGCUAAGUCUUUUUUACAUUUUUCAUUGGUAUGAACUGUUAUGAAAGUUGUAUUGUCAAUUUUGUUUUGUAUUUAAACGCCACUUUAAACGUGUACAUGACACUGCAACAACAUUUCCCCAUGGGGACAAUAAAGUAAGUAAGUACCUAUCAGGCAACACAACACCUUAGUCACCAGAUGACUUGCAUCCAGAACAUGAGGCCAUCAUACCUGCUCCUAACUUAUCUGCCCCUGAUCCUCAUCAUCUGCAACAGGAAUAAGAAGUAAAAUACUUGCUAGAAGGAAAAAGGUUGGAAGAGCUUGCUCAAAAACAUAGAGAUCUUUGCAUGAAAAAUGUCAAACUUGAUAAAGCUUAAUGGAAAAUUGAGAAAUACAAAAAGGUAUGAUCAACUGAUGAAGAAAACAAAGACAAGAUUCCCCAAGGACAAAGACAAACAGCAAAUAAAGGGAACUCCGAAGAACCUGAGAAGGAUGUUGUUAUUUCAAAAUGCCAUCAUUGCAGAGAAAGCAAAAGUAUCAAAAAUUGCACAGUGCCAAGGACAAACAAGUGACUUCAAAAAUACUCAGAGGCAACAUCCUGAGAAAGUAUGGCCUGGUCAAAGCCAAAAACAGAGAAUUGGGAUUUUCAGCAAAAGCAAUGAGGGCAAUUGAAAACAGUCUUCAAUACUCCAGGAAAAAGCAGUGUAAUAUAAUUAGCACAGCCACAGAAGAGAAAAUCACUAGAUUCAAUGAACGUAACGUCAACUGUAGAGCAACAACAGGGAAAAAAGACACUAACGAGGAAAAAAUAAAGCAGAAGCGCUUCUUGAAUGCACAAUUCAGAGCGUUUAUCAGAAUUUUAAGAGGGAAUAUUCAGAGAUUAAAAUGUCCUACUAUGAAUUCUGCAAAAUACCAUUUUGGGUUGUCAAGCCAACAGUCCAGAAUAGGAACACAUGCCUCUGCAAAACCCACGCCAACCUCCAGUUCAUGGCAAACAAACUACAGUAUCACCAAGUGAUCGGGCUGCAGCAACAAUGAGAACCUUAUUGAGUCUUUGUGCUGUGAGAACCUGAAGAAAGAGUGAAUGUACACAGAAUGCUCCCUUUGAUGCUGUUGAGCAGACAUAGUGGUUUGAGUGGAAAAACAAAGCUGAAGAGAGAGAAGGAAAAACAAAGAAGGAAACAUGUUCACUUGACAGUAAAAGAAAAGGUGUGUGGCAUACCGCAUAUUCUACUGGAGGACUUCUCCAAAGGAUUGAAAGAUAAGUUGGGGAAACGUGUACAACAUUCGACACCAAUACUCCAAACUGAGAGGAUUAAAAGAGAAUCUGUGGAAAGUGGAGAUCAUCGUGCAUAUUGACUUUGCAGAGAACUCACUGGGGAUACUGUCACGGCAGUAUAAAGGAUCGGACCAAAGUGCAGCGUUUGUUUCGUUCCACGUAUUUAUUUAAUCCGUGAAAACUAUGCAAUAUAUCAAAUAACUGACAUCUACAAAAUAACAAACCGUGACGCAGAGGAGAAACAAACACUACUCACAAAUAAUCACCUACAAAAACAGGUGGGACAAACAUCAACUUAAAUAUGACCUCCAAUUAGAGACAACGACGACCAGCUGCCUCUAAUUGGAGAUCAUACCAAACAAAACCAACAUAGAAAUACAAAACUAGAAACUGAACAUAGAAAUACAAAACAGACAAACACCCCCUGUCACGCCCUGACCUACUCUACCAUAGAAAAUAACCACUUACUAUGGUCAGGACGUGACAGACACUCUGAAAUUUCACUAGGGACAUUUUUGCCCCCCCCCCCCCAGUUUUAUCAUUGGAAUGUGAUACAAAAUGAGACAACGGUGCGCUUUAGGACCAUGCAGACACCUCCGAGCGGUCAGGUAGACUGUUUGUAGUGUAUAUCUGACUGGAUAAAACAAAUUAGAAUAAUCAUUUCCCCCCCACUUCUAAAACCAAAGUUGCGCCCCUGAGAGAACUACCUGUGUAAAUACACCAUUUAGAUCCAGGCAGUUCACUUUGGUGAUUCUCACAAGCAGGUAACCCUCCACACCUGUGUUGGGUAUACCACAAAUUAUACAGUUAAACUUUGCUCACUGAGCUCUUCUAUGCAGAUGAUCCCAUCUGGGCUCAUCUCUCAAAAACACUGGCCUACUUCCUUGAGCUCUGCCCAUGGGCUACUUUUGGAAUCUGACUUUGUCUUAAAUGAAUUACAUGUUUAACAAUGGAUGUUGUUCAAAAUGUUUGCAAAAAAAUAUUGUUUUCAGAAGUUAUUUUUUAACAUAGAUGUCAUUUCCACCACACCC
RNAcentral lists this long non-coding RNA (2834 nucleotides) under Salmo salar (Atlantic salmon). Its description in RNAcentral is "lncRNA (ENSSSAG00000106823.1)". Lineage: Eukaryota; Metazoa; Chordata; Actinopteri; Salmoniformes; Salmonidae. The record is from RNAcentral.